Molecule: ribosomal RNA, 85 nt
Filed under: uncultured fungus
Lineage: Eukaryota; Fungi
Description: partial 5.8S ribosomal RNA
Rfam family: 5.8S ribosomal RNA
About the family: 5.8S ribosomal RNA (5.8S rRNA) is a component of the large subunit of the eukaryotic ribosome. It is transcribed by RNA polymerase I as part of the 45S precursor that also contains 18S and 28S rRNA. Functionally, it is thought that 5.8S rRNA may be involved in ribosome translocation.
Source: RNAcentral
UUGCAGAAUUCAGUGAAUCAUCGAAUCUUUGAACGCACAUUGCGCCCCUUGGUAUCCCGAGGGGCAUGCCUGUUCGAGCGUCAUU